CGAACGCUGGCGGCACGCCUCAUACAUGCAAGUCGAGCGCGAAACCACCUUCGGGUGAUGUAGAGCGGCGAACGGGUGAGUAACAGGUGGGUAAUCUGCCCUUUGGCGGGGGACAACAGCUGGAAACGGCUGCUAAUACCGCAUGUGAUUGUGGACUUAUGGUCUGCAAGGAAAGGCGCCUCAAAGCGCCACCAAAGGAUGAGCCCGCCCCCCAUUAGCUAGUUGGUGAGAUAACAGCUCACCAAGGCAUCGAUGGGUAGCCGAGCUGAGAGGUUGAUCGGCCACACUGGAACUGAGACACGGUCCAGACACCUACGGGUGGCAGCAGUAGGGAAUAUUGCGCAAUGGGCGAAAGCCUGACGCAGCGAUGCCGCGUGAGUGACGAAGGUCUUAGGAUUGUAAAGCUCUUUUCUGAGGGAAGAAUAGGUCUGGUAGGAAAUGACUGGAUUCUGACGGUACCUCAGGAAUAAGGAACGGCUAACUCCGUG
This 488-nucleotide ribosomal RNA is filed under the name uncultured bacterium. Its description in RNAcentral is "bacterial SSU rRNA". It matches the Rfam family "Bacterial small subunit ribosomal RNA", at positions 30 to 507 of the family's 1533-position model. The record is from RNAcentral.